AGAGUUUGAUCCUGGCUCAGGACGAACGCUGGCGGCGUGCUUAACACAUGCAAGUCGAACGAUGAAGCGGGUGCUUGCACUCGUGGAUUAGUGGCGAACGGGCGAGUAACACGUGAGUAACCUGUCCUUUUCUUUGGGAUAACGGCUGGAAACGGCUGCUAAUACUGGAUAUUCAGGCUGCAUCGCAUGGUGUGGUUUGGAAAGGUUUUUUCUGGGAUUGGGUGGGCUCGCGGCCUAUCAGCUUGUUGGUGGGGUGAUGGCUUACCAAGGCUUUGACGGGUAGCCGGCCUGAGAGGGUGGUCGGUCGCACUGGGACUGAGAUACGGCCCAGACUCCUACGGGAGGCAGCAGUGGGGAAUAUUGCACAAUGGACGAAAGUUUGAUGCAGCGACGCCGCGUGGAGGGUGUAGGCCUUCGGGUUGUGAACUCCUUUUUCUCGCGAAAAAGGCACAGUUUUGGCUGUGUUGAUGGUAGUGGGGGAAGAAGCGCCGGCUAACUACGUGCCAGCAGCCGCGGUAAUACGUAGGGCGCGAGCGUUGUCCGGAUUUAUUGGGCGUAAAGAGCUCGUAGGUGGUUCGUCGCGUCUGUCGUGAAAGCCAGCAGCUUAACUGUUGGUCUGCGGUGGGUACGGGCGGGCUUGAGUGCGGUAGGGGUGACUGGAAUUCCUGGUGUAGCGGUGGAAUGCGCAGAUAUCAGGAGGAACACCGAUGGCGAAGGCAGGUCACUGGGCCGUUACUGACACUGAGGAGCGAAAGCGUGGGGAGCGAACAGGAUUAGAUACCCUGGUAGUCCACGCUGUAAACGUUGGGAACUAGGUGUGGGGAUGCUAUCCUGUGUUUCUGCGCCGUAGCUAACGCAUUAAGUUCCCCGCCUGGGGAGUACGGUCGCAAGGCUAAAACUCAAAGGAAUUGACGGGGGCCCGCACAAGCGGCGGAGCAUGCGGAUUAAUUCGAUGCAAUGGUUGUCGUCAGCUCGUGUCGUGAGAUGUUGGGUUAAGUCCCGCAACGAGCGCAACCCUUGCCUCAUGUUGCCAGCGGUUCGGCCGGGGACUCGUGAGGGACUGCCGGGGUUAACUCGGAGGAGGGUGGGGAUGACGUCAAAUCAUCAUGCCCCUUAUGUCUUGGGCUUCACGCAUGCUACAAUGGCCAGUACAGAGGGUUGCGAUACCGUGAGGUGGGGCUAAUCUCUUAAAGCUGGUCUCGGUUCGGAUUGGGGUCUGCAACUCGACCCCAUGAAGUUGGAGUCGCUAGUAAUCGCAGAUCAGCAUUGCUGCGGUGAAUACGUUCUCGGGCCUUGUACACACCGCCCGUCACGUCACGAAAGUUGGUAACACCCGAAGCCCGUGGCUUAACCUUUUUGGGGGGAGCGGUCGAAGGUGGGAUUGGCGAUUGGGACGAAGUCGUAACAAGGUAGCCGUACCGGAAGGUGCGGCUG
RNAcentral lists this ribosomal RNA (1434 nucleotides) under human gut metagenome. RNAcentral's name for it is "bacterial SSU rRNA". It matches the Rfam family "Bacterial small subunit ribosomal RNA". The record is from RNAcentral.